This 253-nucleotide ribosomal RNA is filed under the name uncultured bacterium. Its description in RNAcentral is "partial 16S ribosomal RNA". It matches the Rfam family "Bacterial small subunit ribosomal RNA", at positions 524 to 776 of the family's 1533-position model. The record is from RNAcentral.
GACGAACCGUACGAACGUUAUUCGGAAUCAUUGGGCUUAAAGGGUGCGUAGGCUGUGCAGAAAGUUGGGUGUGAAAUCCCCUGGCUUAACCAGGGAAUUGCAUCCAAAACUACUGCGCUGGAGGAAGACAGAGGUAAGCGGAACUUCGGGUGGAGCGGUGAAAUGCGUUGAUAUCCGAAGGAACACCGGUGGCGAAAGCGGCUUACUGGGUCUUUUCUGACGCUGAGGCACGAAAGCUAGGGUAGCGAACGGG